CCUACGGGAGGCAGCAGUGAGGAAUAUUGGUCAAUGGGCGGGAGCCUGAACCAGCCAAGCCGCGUGAGGGAAGAAGGUACAGCGUAUCGUACACCUCUUUUGUCAGGGAACAAAGACUGGGACGCGUCCCCGGAUGAGUGUACCUGAAGAAAAAGCAUCGGCUAACUCCGUGCCAGCAGCCGCGGUAAUACGGGGGAUGCGAGCGUUAUCCGGAUUUAUUGGGUUUAAAGGGUGCGCAGGCGGUCUGUUAAGUCAGCGGUCAAAGCCCGGGGCUCAACCCCGGCCCGCCGUUGAAACUGGCAGUCUCGAGUUGGAGAGAAGUAUGCGGAAUGCGCGGUGUAGCGGUGAAAUGCAUAGAUAUCGCGCAGAACUCCGAUUGCGAAGGCAGCAUGCCGGCUCCACACUGACGCUGAGGCACGAAAGCGUGGGUAUCGAACAGGAUUAGAUACCCCAGUAGUC
Molecule: ribosomal RNA, 459 nt
Filed under: uncultured bacterium
Lineage: Bacteria
Description: partial 16S ribosomal RNA
Rfam family: Bacterial small subunit ribosomal RNA
Source: RNAcentral